This is a long non-coding RNA of Andrographis paniculata, 800 nucleotides long. RefSeq lists it as uncharacterized. The record is from RefSeq and is a predicted model, not a curated record. NCBI's taxonomy places the organism in Eukaryota, Viridiplantae, Streptophyta, Magnoliopsida, Lamiales, Acanthaceae. The transcript is spliced from 4 exons.
UCCCCUCUUCCUUUCUCUUUCGAAGUUGCAGCCUCUCUCUCAAAGAUGGAAUCCGGAUUCCGCCGCCAGAAGAGGACCUUUACGGUUCCGCCCGAAGGUAGCACUGUCAAGGCUGUCGGAAUCUCUUCGGAAAUAACACCCGCUGAUACCGACCACACGUCCAAAAUCUCCAAAUCUUUGACAUCAAAAAGUAUUUUGAAGACAACUAGGACAUUGUGGAUCACUUUGAGAAGGUGUAGCUUGUGAGAAUGGGUACGGAUGGACUAUUGUGAAAUCUCUUGCAGCAGGUGCUGAAAUUCUUGUUGGCACAUGGAUCCUUGUACAUAUACGUACAUGAUUUUUUCAUCUUUGCAUAUCUUUUCAUGCACCUUGAAUGUCAAAUAUCACCAUAUUUUUUGUUGGGUCUUCAGCAAUAUUGGCAUUGGGAUGCAAAAUGGAGCACUUGAGGAUGGUGAUACCCUAACCAUUGUCAAGACAUUUGUUACCGCUGUUACAAUCCCGGAGACCGUACUUAUUCUCCCAUGUAAUUCCGGAGUGAAAUGCUCGAUGAGUACUCGACAUAGAAAACAUCAAGUGGACUUACAACGUUGUACAAUUUUUUUUAAAAUGUUUGUUCUUUUGGGAAUUAUAUUACUUUAGUUGCUGAUAUAAUUCUUAUACAUCAUUGGAAACACAUUGCAGUUGGUUGACCGCCUCUGAUUGCUUCAUCUGUUAUUUUGCACUCGAUGAGCUUGGUCGUUCAUAAUUGCAUCUGUUAGUCGACCUUAGGAUUGUACUGCAGUUUGAUACCAUAUUUAUUU